RNAcentral lists this long non-coding RNA (330 nucleotides) under Arabidopsis thaliana (thale cress). RNAcentral describes it as "long non-coding RNA (ATHA_LNC000387)". The record is from RNAcentral. Lineage: Eukaryota; Viridiplantae; Streptophyta; Magnoliopsida; Brassicales; Brassicaceae.
CCUUGUUAUGGAUCUUGAGGGUCAGAAACUCCAGGCCUUUACUGGUGCCUAUGCUGAACUUGAAUCAACUCUUUCUGGUUUGAAUGUUCUUGUCGAGACCUACUUCGCUGAUAUCCCUGCUGAGGCAUACAAGACCCUAACCUCAUUGAAGGGUGUGACUGCCUUUGGAUUUGAUUUGGUUCGUGGCACCAAGACCCUUGAUUUGGUCAAGGCAGGUUUCCCUGAGGGAAAGUACCUCUUUGCUGGUGUUGUUGAUGGAAGGAACAUCUGGGCCAACGACUUUGCUGCGUCCCUAAGCACCUUGCAGGCACUUGAAGGCAUUGUUGGUAA